RNAcentral lists this ribosomal RNA (301 nucleotides) under uncultured bacterium. Its description in RNAcentral is "partial 16S ribosomal RNA". It matches the Rfam family "Bacterial small subunit ribosomal RNA", at positions 509 to 809 of the family's 1533-position model. The record is from RNAcentral.
CAGUCGCCGCGGGAAUACAGAGGGUGCGAGCGUUAAUCGGAUUUACUGGGCGUAAAGCGUGCGUAGGCGGCUUCUUAAGUCGGAUGUGAAAUCCCUGAGCUUAACUUAGGAAUUGCAUUCGAUACUGGGAAGCUAGAGUAUGGGAGAGGAUGGUAGAAUUCCAGGUGUAGCGGUGAAAUGCGUAGAGAUCUGGAGGAAUACCGAUGGCGAAGGCAGCCAUCUGGCCUAAUACUGACGCUGAGGUACGAAAGCAUGGGGAGCAAACAGGAUUAGAUACCCCAGUAGUCCCUGUCUCUUAUCC